CCAGGCAGGUAUUAAAGAUGAGACAUUUCUCCAAAGAAAGAGGCAGCAACCCUAAUUCAGCACAAAUGAAUUUACAGCCUUGUAAAGUGAAGUACUAAAUCCCAUGAGUCUGGACUGCUGAAUGUAUCAGAUUUUGAUUUCUCCAACGUUUGAGAUCUUUUGAAUUCCAAGUUCAUUCUUUCUACAACAUGAGAAAUUUCACAGAUUUCAUAUCAAAAAGGAAACAUUUUCACCCAUUCCUCAGCCCCGCAUGUGAGCGUACAUCAGUAAAUCAGUAUAAAUCCCAUGCUAACUGCUAUCCAGCCAUCAUAACCAACAUGUGUCUGAACCGCAUCAUGGUUAACUUUCUAAAUGGUUUCUUCCAACAUAAUCUGGGACCCAUUCACAAUUACAAUGUUUUAUUACAUUUUACAUUACAUUUUAUUUACAGUGCUUUAUUAUUCAUAUUAUGGCAACUUUCUAGGGUGUUCUGGAAUUUAUAGUUUGGUGAUGCACUACAGCUCCAUGGGUGAGAAUCCUAAAUACUCAUCCCUAAACUACAGACUCCAGGAUUCCAUAGCAUGGAACCGUGGCAGUUGAAGUGGAAUCAUAGCACUAUAAAGACAUAGUGUGAUGGGCUCUUGGACCAAGAAAAAUUGUAAAAUGUAGAGCCGGAGUUAUGCGUAUAAAUUAUUUGACGGCUUAUCUUGAACUAAUGCAUUCUGAUUUCCAAUUCUUUGACAGCAAUAUGAAACUGCAGUAGAGAUAAUGACAGCAUGCAAAAGUGACCCUGUUUUGGCUGCACAGAAUUAAACAGGACAUUUCACAAUAUUUUUUUUUCUUCAUCGCCUUCUUAAAGAGACUUUCAUUAGCCUCAAAAGACAGAUUUCUGUAAGAAAACCUUACUGUUCCUGGGUUUUAUCUCCUGUUCUUUUCCGAAGCAACAAAUUUCCAUCUGCUGCAUUUAGAAAUUAAACUCUCCCCAAAAUCAAGUAAAUUAAAAGUGUGCCUUCCAGAUCUGUCAUGGUACAGAUAAAACGCUGACUUUACAUGCUUCCUAGACUUUAGCAUGCUGUUUUAUUUCAGUUCAUCGAAGCCACAAAGGCAUACUUCCUAUUUCAUCUGCCACCAACAGUAUAAACAUUAAAACAAGACAAAUGCAAGGAACUAUGUUGUGCUAUGUUAAGCUGCGCUAGUAGGACAGCAGUUUCCAAGAACCGAGACUUAAGACAUAAAUUCCUGCAUGAUUCAUCUUUCAGUUCUUGUCGGCUUGGCUCUUUUCCCCAUGUCAGGUGGAAAUAGUUAAAUGGAAGAUGAUGGUGAUGGACCUUAUCGUGUGAGGCCAGUAAAGCGGCAGGAUAACAGCACAUUCGAUUCACCGUUCCCGCAUGACGUUGGUGCUGUUCUGUCAAUAUAGCAUAAGAGACCGCUGUAAAAGCUGUUCGUAUAGAAAUACUCUGAUAAUGACCUCCUUUAACUCUUUUGUCAUGUAGGAUUUGCAGAGUGAAAGUUCAACAGUGCUUUCCUGCUGAAUUUGAUUGGUCUGUGGUCACAGUUUGGAUGAGGAAAUGCUGUUGGAGAUGCAAGAGGAAAAUGAUUUCUUUGUGUGUCCAACUGCUGAAAUGCAAUGCCCAUCCAGUCAAAUCCCUACAUGGAUGUGCAUUCAACAGCUGGCAGAAAGCUAUCAUAUUACUUUAAAUAUUUGCCGAAGAUAAGAAAAGCAGUUGCAAAAUUCUUCAUUCAUCAGAAAUUGGGGGAAGGAUCCCCACGCAGAUACCAACAUCCAUGGAUGCUCACGUCCCAUUGACCUCAAUGGUGGCACAGCCCUGUCUCAGCCUGGAGAUUUCCAUUGAUCCACUCACCACCCACACAGCCAUCUUGAUGUACACCAAAUAUUUUGGACAUACAAUAUCUACAUCUUAAGUCUCAUUGUUCCUUUUGCUUGGAUGUCCAUAGCAAAACAGAACAAAUAAACAUCCCCUGACUUACUGGAGGAUCCAUUUGUGGUCAAACAUCAGCCAACAUCACCUUGUCUGGCACAUCAAGGCUUCUUUGCCCCAAGUAUCCUAGCAUGUUUUCAUGUUCUUGGGACUUGACACAAAAAACAUCAGGGAUCACCUGGUUGUCCGAGGGAGAUGGGACUCCUGGAGCUGUCAAAGGCUUCAGGAACACAUCAAGAGAAACCAGGAGUGCUAUUCAAGCAGCUGACAGCAGACCUUCUUUCCACCAACCAUCCUUCUGACCUUUGAGUUAAGUGUUAAUAUAUGGUUAAUGGGUUUGGCAGUUGGGGACUUAUCCAGUUGGUGGGGAUAGGGAUCAAGUUUGGGGGGGGAGUCCCCUUAAGAGUCAUGCCAAGCUUAAGGGAAGCUGGGAUGGUCUUACCCACAGGUGGCAGAAGAAUCACACAAUGGUCCUGUCUGCACAGGGCAGUCUGAAAUUUCCUGGCUCCAGAGCUGCCCCAAUCCUCUCCCAUUGCAAAGACCUUCCAUUCUCAUGCGGGGUGGCUGCUCACAUAUACAUCACACUGAGUUUCCAUGCACAUCUUCUGCCACCGUGGGUCACUCAGUCACAUAGCUGGAUGCCUUGAUCUGACCUCAGGUGGUAGCAGUGAAUGCACUGUAUGGCUCAGCAAGACUCAUUUUAGACAACCACCUGGAAUCAGAACGGAAACCUCCAGAUCUUCUGAGAAGAUGCAGAGCAAUGAGAGUAGGGAUAAGAAAUGGUUUCCACUCUCCCAACAAUGGCAUAGGUAAGCCAGUGAAGACUUCCACUAGUGCAAUUAUUGGAUCUCAGCCAGCCACAGAUACAGACACAUACCCUACUUGCAAAUGAACAAAGAACAAGGACACUGCACUUACUGCAGGUGAAAGUCACAUUGGAUUUCAAUCUGCAUUUUUAAUGAGGUGAAAGCAAGGAAACCUUCUCCUUUUCACAUUGGGUGAAUCAAUGAUUCACUGCUACUCUUUUUCAUUUGUAAGUUCCAGGGCGAAGACCAGCAGCAUUUUGCUGCUGUUAGUCCAAAGAUGGCUGAGAGUGAGGCUCAAUAGCUGGAUGAUGUUUACAGAUAUGAUCAAAAUGCCAAAAAAUGGGGAGAGGGAGGAGAGUUACAUGAUUUUUUACAUGCUGACCAAGUAGGAAAGAGAGUCUUGUUGCUUGCUUCUCCCUUGAGAUGGCCUCUGUGCACCUUAUAGUUGUUAGGGGGCAUGCGCCUACUGUACCAACUAUGGAACCUUUGGAGACACUGUGCAGGAAAUGCAUUAAAUGCAUUUAAAAAAGGAAAUCAGAUUUUGGUAUGUUUGCAGUGGGAAGAAGAGAUAACAAGGGGAAGAUGCCUAGCAACGCUUUUGCAGGGAGUGUCAAUCCUCAACAGUGCAUGUACAGAGAGCCUUGUUGCAUUAAAAACAAACCUGGUAGGGAAAACGGAGAGAAGCUCAAUUGUCUUUCUGUCUCCACAUGACGUCGAAGCACUUUUGUGCUCUUCCAGUUGUAAAGAUAUGGGAAGGAAUGGUCAAAACAUCCCUUUUGCCGAUUUUUUUUUUCCCAGCUGGACAAAAGUGACACUUUUACAACACUUUUACAACUCUCUCCCACACUUCAAUGACUGGAAGAGAAUGAAAGUGCUUCAACGUCAUGCGGAGACAUAAACAUGCUUAUCUCCAGUUGCCUGCAGGGUUUGUUUUUAAUGCAAUAAGGCUCUUAGUGAAUAAUUACAUCAGUAAUCCUUACUAGCAGAGAUGGCCAAGGACCAGCGGAGCUGACAGGCUGAGCCUGUGCUGAAUCCAAACCCUUCCAAGGCUACUGUCACAGUGCAGAUUUAAUGCAGUUUGUCAUGGCUCCUAGGCUGUUGUGGCACCAGAGCUCUCUGAAAGAGAAGGCUAAACAAUUCAGAAAACUACAAACCUCAAGAUCUCAUACCAUUGAGCCAUGGCAAUUAAAGUGGUGUUGAACUGCAUUAAUUUUGCUGUGUAGAUGCAGCUCUAAAUUGGCCUG
Sceloporus undulatus (fence lizard) is the source of this 3969-nucleotide long non-coding RNA. RefSeq lists it as uncharacterized. The record is from RefSeq and is a predicted model, not a curated record. NCBI's taxonomy places the organism in Eukaryota, Metazoa, Chordata, Lepidosauria, Squamata, Phrynosomatidae. The transcript has 4 exons.